UGCAGGAAAAGUAUAACACGCACGCUUACGGUACACUCCGUCUUUGGAUGCGUCCUUCUUGAUAAGCGGUUUUCCAGAAUCCCGGCUUCAAAAAUGACCAACAGGAUUCAUCUUGAAUCCUUUAGGUACAAACAUAAAGAAAUCAGAAAAUUAAGACAUUCAGAUGAAAUAUACAUUUACUACUUUGCGAAGCCCAACGUUGUGUCUUCAAGAAAUUUCAGAAUAUGACCCUGUGGUCUAAGAAGGAUUUUUCGUCGUUGUAAUAGAAUGUAGUGAUGUUUGCACUAAAAUUUCCUACUUUCAUUCCUUAUUACAAUCCACCUAAUUAAAUUCAAAUUCUGCGUAUUGUAUCUACAUUAUAUAGAACACUCUAGAAAUAUGAAUUAUGUAAGUAUAGAAAGGCAAACUUUAUUGCACAGCACCUGCAAGAAUUUAAAGGACACUGAAGCUUCAAAUUGACUUUCAGUGGUUAAUGGAUAUAUCAUUAACGUCCUUUAAUUUAUAAAUAAACAUAAGUUGCUCUAACUGCUAAGUUACCUAUAUAAUGCAUACAAUGUGAAUUUUACUAUAUAGCAAUAUCUUUUUAAAAACGCACGUAAGGGAAAUAAAAACGCAAAGAAGUGUAAGCUUUCGCGUUCCAUGAUAAAGGAGAAAUAGCACGUGUGCCAAGAAAAUAAAUCCCAUAACAGUCAAAGUUAA
Molecule: long non-coding RNA, 699 nt
Organism: Belonocnema kinseyi
Lineage: Eukaryota; Metazoa; Arthropoda; Insecta; Hymenoptera; Cynipidae
Exons: 2
Source: RefSeq, a predicted model, not a curated record